Manis javanica (Malayan pangolin) is the source of this 104-nucleotide small nuclear RNA. The record is from RefSeq and is a predicted model, not a curated record. Lineage: Eukaryota; Metazoa; Chordata; Mammalia; Pholidota; Manidae.
GUACUCACUUCAGCAGCACAUAUACUACAACUGAAACAAUACUAAGGUUAUCAUGGCCCCUGCACAAGGAAGACAUGCAAAUUCAGGAAGCAUCCCAUGUUUUU